Long non-coding RNA from Bombus huntii, 461 nucleotides. RefSeq lists it as uncharacterized. The transcript is spliced from 3 exons. The record is from RefSeq and is a predicted model, not a curated record. Lineage: Eukaryota; Metazoa; Arthropoda; Insecta; Hymenoptera; Apidae.
GCGUUUGGACCACAAGGCGAUGGCUGACAAGGAUUUAUCGGGGUAUCUGGCUCUUUUACUAAAAGAAAAUGCCAAUCUUAGCAGGACCAUCCUUCGGUACAAAAAUAUCUAAUUUCAAAUUUGCAAAAUUCCAAAUUUUCAAGAAAAAACCGGAACAGAGACAUAUUUUUGACGAGAAAUCUUUGGAGUGAUAAAUGAGCCUUACUUUGUGGGACACAUUGAAUAAAUGGAUCUCCGGUAUACUGCUCGAAGCAGCUACAAACAGGAUUAUGAUUGAUCACGGAACAUUGAGCAGACAAUCCACAAGCACCGAGACAAGGAAUGGUGGCGAUCCUUUGAAUCCAGUAACGCAGCUGCAGACAGCUUGACCGUUGGAAGGACGACAAUGGCUGUUCGAACCGCAGGGUGAUGGGUUGCAUAGAUCAACUGCGGUGGUUUCUGUCAUACCAUAAAUUCCAAAA